Molecule: long non-coding RNA, 389 nt
Organism: Xenopus laevis (African clawed frog)
Lineage: Eukaryota; Metazoa; Chordata; Amphibia; Anura; Pipidae
Exons: 3
Source: RefSeq, a predicted model, not a curated record
CAUUAGUACAGAGUUGUUGCAGAUCUCCGCUGUAUUCUUCUUUUCUGUCAGCAGACUGUAUCUGGAGAACAAUCAUGUCCGCUAAAGGAGGUAGCCAAUGCAAGCAAGACCAAUGUAAAGAUCCUGACCCCUGCAUACCAGUACAGAAAUGUCAGCAAGCCAAGCCCAUAUGCAAAGAUCCUUGCCAAACAACUAACCCCUGUCAGCAGCAAGGUCAAGGGCAUGAGCACCAGGGCCACCAUGGAGGAGGUGGAGGAGGCGGAGGAGGUGGAGCAGCCAAGAAGUAAAAAACUCAAGAAGGAAUCUAACAGUUGUGUGUCAGUCACUCACAUUGAAUACAGUUAACUGUUCAUUCAUGUUUUAAAUUGAAUAAAUAUCUUAAAAUAUUA